RNAcentral lists this long non-coding RNA (409 nucleotides) under Bos mutus (wild yak). Its description in RNAcentral is "lncRNA (ENSBMUG00000024072.1)". The record is from RNAcentral. Lineage: Eukaryota; Metazoa; Chordata; Mammalia; Artiodactyla; Bovidae.
UUCAAAAAUCAAAACACUGAUAUUAUCUUUUUUUUUUUUUAAGGUAACUUACAAGAUUAAAAUUAAAUUUGACGAUGAUUCUGAACAAAUAUGCUGUUUAUUUGAGGAAUAUGAAUCCUGAAGCUGAAUUACCUAAGGGGCCUCUACAGUGAAGUGAAAUAGAUGUUGGUGGAAGCAUUUAGUAAGUUUUUACUCAAUUUACAUGUUUAAUCUGUUUUUUAAGUUUAAAUAUGACUUUGGAAAUUUUAAGUAAAUGAGUCUAUAAAAACAGAUUUAGUGAGAUUCAAAACAGUACAAAAAUAGACCCAUAUGGUUAGGUGUGUACCAAGUUUAUUAAAAUCUUAUUAAUUUACUCCAACCUUUUAUUACUUUCUGCUUUUCUAACUUAGGUUCAGGCAAAGUUUAAAUG